UCUGCCCUAUUCUUCCUCUCUUCACCGAAAUUGCCUCUUUUCUUCCCAAAUUUACAUCUCCAUUCCGGCUGCUCCUCGCUCUUCCGUGCCUCUUCUAUGUUCCUGCUUCUCUAUCUUCCUCUCUUCUCUCUUAUCCUGAUUUCCCCUCUUCUAUCUUCUAUCUUCUGUUUUUCUAUUUUCUCUAGCUCCUCUCUUCUUCUUUCUAGUUUCUUUUUUUUUUUUCUAUUUUCUCCUCUUCUAUUUUCUCUUCAAUUCUCUCCUCUAUUUUUCUAUUAUUUUCUGGCCUUCUAUUUUCUUUUCUUCUAUACUUUUCUAUUUCCUUUUUUCUAUUUUCUGCUCUUCUGUUUUCUAUUUUUUUCUAUUUUCUCUUCUACCGAUUUCUAUUUUUUUCUAUUACUUCCCAUUGUUUCCUCCUCUCUUCUUUU
This 425-nucleotide long non-coding RNA is filed under the name Numida meleagris (helmeted guineafowl). Its description in RNAcentral is "lncRNA (ENSNMEG00000000776.1)". Lineage: Eukaryota; Metazoa; Chordata; Aves; Galliformes; Numididae. The record is from RNAcentral.